Molecule: ribosomal RNA, 465 nt
Filed under: uncultured bacterium
Lineage: Bacteria
Description: partial 16S ribosomal RNA
Rfam family: Bacterial small subunit ribosomal RNA
Source: RNAcentral
GACGAACGCUGGCGGCGUGCUUAACACAUGCAAGUCGAACGGAAAGGCCCUGCUUGCAGGGUACUCGAGUGGCGAACGGGUGAGUAACACGUGGGUUAUCUGCCCUGCACUUCGGGAUAAGCCUGGGAAACUGGGUCUAAUACCGGAUAGGAGCCAUUUUUAGUGUGAUGGUUGGAAAGUUUUUUCGGUGUAGGAUGAGCUCGCGGCCUAUCAGCUUGUUGGUGGGGUAAUGGCCUACCAAGGCGGCGACGGGUAGCCGGCCUGAGAGGGUGGACGGCCACAUUGGGACUGAGAUACGGCCCAGACUCCUACGGGAGGCAGCAGGGGGGAAUAUUGCACAAUGGGCGCAAGCCUGAUGCAGCGACGCCGCGUGGGGGAUGACGGCCUUCGGGUUGUAAACUCCUUUCGCUAGGGACGAAGCUUUUUGUGACGGUACCUAGAUAAGAAGCACCGGCUAACUACGUG